RNAcentral lists this long non-coding RNA (776 nucleotides) under Homo sapiens (human). Its description in RNAcentral is "HSALNT0341479". Lineage: Eukaryota; Metazoa; Chordata; Mammalia; Primates; Hominidae. The record is from RNAcentral.
AGAAGCAAAGUGGAGUGGGUGUGUGUAUGAGAGUGAGUUGAAUAUGUAUAUAGGCUAGGGAUACCUGUAUGUCUCUGGGAUAGUAAGGGGUUUGGAAUCACACUCGUGGAAGAUCAAACCUCUGGCCUACUAUUUAAUAGAUAUGGACCUUGAUCAAGUUCUUCUGUGAGCCUCAAGUUCCUUAUGUAUAAAAUGAGAUUAGUACUACCUACCUCUUGGAGUUCUUUAAGGAUUUAAUGAAAUUAUGACAUAGAAAACACCUAGAACUCAGAAGGCACUCAGUAAGUAUUAGUAGGAUUUUUUGUUUGUUCAUUCUUGUGAGGAAGGGAGAUAUUAAAGGUGCAAGAGAGGGAAAGGAUGAUGCCUAUGAUGUCAGAGAAAAGAGAUGAGUAGACAUGGGAUUUGAGUAGAGGUAGAGGAGUAGUUUCAAAGUGAGAUUGGACCUAUUUUCCUGGGUAAUAGAAGGGAAGGACAGUGAUAAAAUGAGGCAUUGGAUUAGAAACUCCAGGCACAUCAGAGGCCCCUCAGGAAAUGUUUGCUACAUAUGAAUAACGUACACGAAAGCACUUGUGUGGCACUGUACAAAUAUAACUUAUUAAUAUAAGCCACAGUGAUGCUUGACCAAGAAAAGACUUUUUAUAAUACUGUAUGCUAGGUUGAACCAUAUGAGAUUCUAUUUUAAUAGACCCAAAAUGGCAACUUCAUAUGGUUCAACCCAAUAUUUUACAUUGUUUGAUCAUCUGUUUCCUGGUUACAAUGAAAAAAAAAUGUGAGGG